RNAcentral lists this ribosomal RNA (429 nucleotides) under Chloroflexota bacterium. RNAcentral's name for it is "Chloroflexi bacterium partial 16S ribosomal RNA". It matches the Rfam family "Bacterial small subunit ribosomal RNA", at positions 355 to 776 of the family's 1533-position model. Lineage: Bacteria; Bacillati; Chloroflexota. The record is from RNAcentral.
UGGGGAAUAUUGCACAAUGGGCGCAAGCCUGAUGCAGCCAUGCCGCGUGUAUGAAGAAGGCCUUCGGGUUGUAAAGUACUUUCAGCGGGGAGGAAGGGAGUAAAGUUAAUACCUUUGCUCAUUGACGUUACCCGCAGAAGAAGCACCGGCUAACUCCGUGCCAGCAGCUGCGGUAAUACGGAGGGUGCAAGCGUUAAUCGGAAUUACUGGGCGUAAAGCGCACGCAGGCGGUUUGUUAAGUCAGAUGUGAAAUCCCCGGGCUCAACCUGGGAACUGCAUCUGAUACUGGCAAGCUUGAGUCUCGUAGAGGGGGGGAGAAUUCCAGGUGUAGCGGUGAAAUGCGUAGAGAUCUGGAGGAAUACCGGUGGCGAAGGCGGCCCCCUGGACGAGGACUGACGCUCAGGUGCGAAAGCGUGGGGAGCAAACAGG